RNAcentral lists this microRNA (23 nucleotides) under Magallana gigas (Pacific oyster). RNAcentral describes it as "Mgi-Novel-4_5p (mature (co-guide))". The record is from RNAcentral. Lineage: Eukaryota; Metazoa; Mollusca; Bivalvia; Ostreida; Ostreidae.
ACAUACAACUCGGUCGUAAGACU